GGCCAUGGCCGUACUACCCUGAACAUGCUGAUCUCAUCUGAUCUCAUAAGCUAAGCAGGGUUGGGCCUGGUUAGUACUUGUAUUGGGAAACUGUGACCUGUGUAUA
Non-coding RNA from Erinaceus europaeus (western European hedgehog), 106 nucleotides. NCBI's taxonomy places the organism in Eukaryota, Metazoa, Chordata, Mammalia, Eulipotyphla, Erinaceidae. The record is from Rfam.